AAGAUAUGAUGUGGUUAUAGCAAUAUUCAACAGGUGCCUAUAGUAUUGUAUACGUGUAUUGGAUUUUCGUAGUUAGAAGUAGAUGCCUUUAUAAUAUACGUAUUGCAUUACAGGUUGUUUUUUAUUGUUUGUAUUUUAAUUCAACAACAGGUUGUAUAUUUUAGAUUCUAAGUAGAGCGAAAAAGCUUAUGGUUUUAUAAUAAUGUUUUUUUUUUUUUUAAUUUUAAUUUUUUAAGUGUAAACAAUUUUUCUAACAGUUAUUGCUCCGAUUUAUGGAAAAAUGGAAAAAACACGGGAAAAUUGGGAGAACGGGAAAAAAGGCUAUCCCACAAAGAUGAAGAGGAAUAAAAAUAUUUAUAUUUGAAUUAAUUUUUUUUUUUUUAGUAGAAAAAUUACAAAAAAAACUUUUUAUUUUAUUAUUUUCGGAAAAAAUUAAGAUAGCCAUUCUGUAAAGUUUAUUAUUAUGAAAAUGUGUAUGUAUCACACAUUUAUAUCCGAUGAAUAGUUUCUAAGUAACAGCCGUUGUAAAUUCUACUAAUCUGUAUGAAAACCUAUGUUAUUUAAGGAAAAACCUAACCGCGUUACACGAUAACAUCGGUUUUCGUGGAAUUUUCUGUAUAUUGUUGAAAACACUAUCAACUGAACUCCGCUCAGAAUCGUUUUUUCGUUAGCUAUAGUCAAUCGUUCCUAACAGAGAUACAUUAAAUUUCCGUCUAUUUCUGCACAUACACAAAUUUUUACCUGUACACGAUUCGUUUACGCACAUUAAAAAUACGUUUUACCUGCACUGGAAGUACCACACCGGAAUAUACACAGUACUCAAAGUACAACACACAUAAAUCUUUUACCUAUCGUAAAAAUGUAAUAUUAAAUAUUAUUAAGAAGAUAAGAUACAAAAAUCGAUAAAUCAAAUGUAAUCUUGUAGGUAGGUCAAAACUAGAAAGUUUAAAUUUUUUUUUCAAUCAGUUGUUCACCAGUAACUAAAUAUGAACAGAGUGUAAUUAGUAAAUACAAAAAUAUAAAUGCCUAUGGAUAUUCACGUUUAUAAUAUUUUGAAUACUCGAACAUGCACACACACAUUUUUAAUCACGCCUGUGGAAAACAGAUAGUCCUAAGCCUAUAUUAAAGUGAGAAGGGAAAUGUGCUGUUGUGCUAAAAAACGAAUCGUAAAAAGGUAAAUGUGCGUA
Molecule: non-coding RNA, 1187 nt
Organism: Cinara cedri
Lineage: Eukaryota; Metazoa; Arthropoda; Insecta; Hemiptera; Aphididae
Source: the annotation of a GenBank genome assembly